RNAcentral lists this ribosomal RNA (253 nucleotides) under uncultured bacterium. RNAcentral describes it as "partial 16S ribosomal RNA". It matches the Rfam family "Bacterial small subunit ribosomal RNA", at positions 524 to 776 of the family's 1533-position model. The record is from RNAcentral.
GACGAACCGUGCGAACGUUGUUCGGAAUCACUGGGCUUAAAGGGCGCGUAGGCGGGUUCGCAAGUCAGGGGUGAAAUCUUUCAGCUUAACUGGAAAACAGCCCCUGAUACUGCGAGUCUCGAGGGAGGUAGGGGCAUGUGGAACUUCCGGUGGAGCGGUGAAAUGCGUAGAUAUCGGAAGGAACACCAGUGGCGAAGGCGACCACCUGGACUGAUACUGACACUGAGGUGCGAAAGCGUGGGGAGCAAACAGG